UAACGCGAUGGAUUUUAUAUUCACAACACAAUAUAAGUUGGGAAUAGAUUUCAUAAAUAAUGCAAAGCGACCUUAUUACAAGUUCGUUUCACACAACUGAGUUCUCUUUGAAUUAAGUCCGUUUAAAUUCGAGAUUUGGCGGUACCAGUGAAGCUUAAAUCGAAUGUUAACACAUUGAGUGGAAAGAGGCGUUGUUGAACAUCUUCGGCGUGAGUUAAAGCCAAGCUAUGUGCAGGAUGCGACGCUUAGAAGUCAAGUCUAUAUUUUUACAAACCAAGUGACCCGAAACGAACAUUCCAUCGACACAAAGAAAAGUGUUCCGUCGCGUGCCACCCAAUAAAGUGUAACAAUGCAGCGAUCAAGCCCAUGAAACGAAGAACAAAAGAGCGAAAUUACAACACGUUCGAAGAAAGGAGCAAAGGACGCGUGCUGCAUGGGGGAGUAACAAAGAUGAGGGCAUUCUCCAGGGGAUGAAGGUUCGAAAGGCAAGGUUGAGCAAGGUUGAGCAAGGUUACCCUCACUUUCCAGUAAGGUAGUGAAACAUUUCCGCCAAGAGCGUAACACCGCAGGCACCACCUUAGAAAUGUGGCGUCCAGAAAGUACUAUGUUUUCUUGGGGGUGAAAAUUAAUCAGAUUCACGUUCUGGGCAGCCUUUGAGCUACUACAAUCUACUGAAACGAAAUGAAUUGCUGUUUUUCAAUAGACGCAUCAUCCAUUUAGACGAACUUAGGCAAACAUUUGUAGUUCGUCUGGUUAUGUAUCUCUAGUACAAACACGGGCACAAGACGUAUUAUGCGUCUAGACAAACUCGGCUAUACUUCGUAAUGCGUCUUGAACGACGCACUACGAAAGAAAGUUUUUCCUGGGCGCAUAGUACGUCUUGUGCCUGUCUUUAUACUAGAGAUGCAUAACUAGCCAAACUACAAAUGUUUGCCCAAGUUCGUCCAGACGGAUGAUGCGUGUUAAGCAUAAAAAUGGCCAACGUUACACGGUGGCGCUGCAGAAGAUACCGAUUUUAUGUCCGGGUAGUAAGGGCUGUAUCUCUCGAGCGGGUCUUCCGAACAAAAUGUGGAGGGGUCAGUGUACAUUAGACGUUGACCUAUCAAACCCAAGAACCUGAAUUCUCGAAAACCCGAAAAACCGCCCCUAAGUUCAAUGUGAGACAUGUGAUUUCACUCAUGUCCCAGAAAGCAAGAGGUCCUGAAAUUCGUAAGGGGUAGAGCAUUAACCCUGUGCAAUUCGCAAUUAGGUACCACACCCAAACAAUGGAUCACUACAUUCACCCAUCUACAAAUAAACGUAAACAAUAUGAAAGAACGUCUUUCCCUGGAAGCUACACCUUUUAUCCGAGACCACUUCUCCGUCAACGAGCAUAUCCGUUAUAUUCAGUUGCAUCCGCGAGGACUGGCGGCGUAAAUUAUGCAAAUGACACUGAAAAAAGAAUUCAGUUUUUGAAAUUUUUUAUUUCGUGUUUUUGCGAUCAAUUUUAUAACAUUUACGAUCAGACUCCAAAUAGACUAGUUUUAAAUUUGAAACAAGAACUAACAAACUUUGGAAAAGGUAGAAGAGAACAAAAAUAAGGCAAAAGAGGCGAA
Long non-coding RNA from Orbicella faveolata, 1595 nucleotides. RefSeq lists it as uncharacterized. Lineage: Eukaryota; Metazoa; Cnidaria; Anthozoa; Scleractinia; Merulinidae. The record is from RefSeq and is a predicted model, not a curated record.